CCCAACUGCGAACCCAAGCAGCUCCCCACCCAAGACCCCAGGAGGGAGGGGAGACAGGGCUAGAGGAAGACAGGAGCAACUCGCCCUGACAGGUGACGGGAGCUGUCAGUCACCCGCACAUCCUCAGCCGGGGCCAAUGGGCUGCCUUCUCCUCCCGCCCUCCGCGCGGAGCUGGCGGCCGCGGCCAGAGCAGCUCCUCCUCCCCCAUCCUCUUCACCGAGCCCGCCGGCCCAGCACUCACUGUUGAGGCCGGCUGUCGGGGCCAACGGCUGUUCACCCUCUUCGCAGUUGUUGUUGUUGUUGUGGGGGGGCGGCGGCUGUUCUACUAAAUGAGACGACAUUGUCGGGCGGCUGGAAGACCCGCGGCCGAAGCAGGACCGUCUCUGGUUCUCGGGCAGCAACACAACAAGCCGAGUCCCCCGCCCCCUUUUCUGCGCCUGCGCAGCCCCUCCCCCGCCCCUGACGUCAGGGUCCGCUCGGGCCACGUGAUGACAACACAACAAGCGAAGGGGCGGGGAGGGGGCGUUCCUAGGCGAGCUCCGGAUCUGGAGACGCGGGAGUCACGCUGACUCGCGCCCCUGGAAUGAAUUGUUGCGUGUCAUUUGUGUUGGCCUGAUGGAGUGACUGAUGCGGCUGGAACCGAGAUAGAGAUUACUCACAAAAGCUUAACGAGACAUUAGACAAGAUCAGCCAUCAUUUCCAGGGAAUUUUCCUGCUGACAAACUUUGCAAUUGAGUUUCUUCCAAAGAGGGAGACACAGAAUCCGGGGCAGGCUCCAUGCUCUGAGCUGUCAGCACAGAGCCCGACACGGGGCUCAAACUCACGAACUGUGAAAAUUGACCUGAGCUGAAGCCAGAUGCUUAACUGACUGAGCCACCCAGGAGCCCCAGUCAUAUUCUCUUCAUAUUUAUCUUUGUAGUUUUAGAUAUAGUUGAACAUCUAUCACUUGAUUUGUCAACUUAAUCUGAUAAAUUUUGAUGAGUAAAAAUAAGGUUGCAUACCUUCCCUAUCUUUUACUUUUCUCCCUUUUCUCUGCCACAACAAACAUAUGUUAAUUACUCAUUCAAUAUAGACUUAAUACAUCGUAGUAUAUAUUUGUAUGUAUCCAAUAGCUAUUACUGUAAUCAUAUUGCAUAAUGAACCACCCCAAACUCACUGGCUUACAGAAGAAACAUUUAUUCUCUGUCAUGUAUUUGAAGGAUAAUUAAUAUAGACUCAGUUUAGGUGGAUUUGGUUUCAAGGUGAAAGUUGGUCCUGCUCUGUAAUCUUCCUUGGACCAUGGGUUGGCCAGAUCAUAUUCCCCUCAUGAUGACGGAAGAAAUUCAAGAAUAAUGAGCAGAAGCAACUCCAAACUAUCAUUCCUUGCACAUUCCAUUGGCCAAAGCAAGUCAGAGAACCAGCUGCAAAGUCACACUGGGAAGGGAAUGGAUUCUAGGAGACUACAAAAAUAUGUUAGCAUAAUUCCCAUAUUUAUUUUAGUCUCAAUUCUAUAGUUACAGUUUCAUUGCUCAUUGUAGAUCCUAUUGCCACAAUUUAUGCAGUUAUCUCUGGCUUGCUGAAGUUUUCUCCCUGAGAAUAGUGUCCCCUAAGAAUGCAUAUUCUGAAAGGUUGGCCUGUUGUCCAUGAAUUUUUUUUCUUGAAACAACUUUUUUUUUUUUUUUUGCACAACAGUUGAAACACAACAAAGCACAUGUUUGUAAGUAACAAUUUGAUAUCUUUGGACUUAUGUUUACACUGUGAAACCAUCACCACAGUCAAGAGAGUGGAUAUAUCCAUCAUCCUCAACACUUUUCCUAGUGCCCCCCUUUUUUUAAAAUUUAUUUUUAUUAAAAAAAAAUUUUUUUAACAUUUAUUCAUUUUCGAGAGACAGAGUGUGAGUGGGGAGGGCACAGAGAGAGAGGGAGACACAGAAUCCGAAGCAGGCUCCAGGCUCCAAGCUGUCAGCACAGAGCCCCACGCGGGGCUCGAACCCUCAGACCGCGAGAUCGUGACCUGAGCCGAAGUUGGACACUAAACUGACUGAGCCACCCAGGCACCCCUCUAGUGCCCCUUUUAAUCUGUGCCUCCUGCCCUUCCCGUCCUUUCACUCCCAAGUGAUCAAUGAUCUGCUUUCUGUCACUAUAAUUUUCAUUGUCCAGAGUUUUUAUAUAAAUGAAAUCAUAUAUGAUGUACUUUUUUGGCUGGCUUCUUUCAAUAUACUUAUCUUGAGAUUCAUUUAUGUAGUUGUGUAUAUUAAUGGUUUGUUGCUUUUUAUUGCUAAAUAGCAUUCCUUUGAAUGGAUAUAUGUAAUUUGUUUCUCCAUUCAUGCAUUGAAGGCACAAUUAGGUUGUUUCCAAUUUGGGACUAUUACAAAUAUGGCCACUAUGAACAUUUAUGUACAAUUCCUUGUACGGACAUAUAGUUCCUUUUCUCUUGGGGAAAUACCUAGGAGAUAAAUGAAUGGAUCAUAUGGUAGGAGUAUGUUUAAUAUCUUGAGAAACUGCUAAAAUAUUUUCAAGAGUAGUUUUAUAGUUCCGCAAGCAGUAUUUGACAGUUCUGUUUGCUCAAUAACCUUGUUAACACCUGGUAUUGUGUUAAUUUUAAUUUAACUUUAGUUAUUCUCAUAAGGGUGUAAUGUUUCAUGGUGGAUUUAAUUUGCAUUUCUCUAAUGAUAAAGCCAUUGAACAACUUUUCAUAUGCUUGUUAUCCAUACAUCUUAUUUGAUGAAGUGUCUGUUCAAAUCAUUUGCCCACUUUUAAAAUUGAGUUGUUUCCUUAUUUUUGAGUUAUGAGAGUUCUUUAUAUGUUCACAAUACAAAUAUUUUUUCCGGCCUAUGAUUUGUAAAGAU
Acinonyx jubatus (cheetah) is the source of this 2827-nucleotide long non-coding RNA. RefSeq lists it as uncharacterized. The record is from RefSeq and is a predicted model, not a curated record. The transcript has 3 exons. NCBI's taxonomy places the organism in Eukaryota, Metazoa, Chordata, Mammalia, Carnivora, Felidae.